UUCCUUCAUCUCUUUUUUGUUUUUUUAUUUUGGUUCCCUUUCUUGUUUCAUCCCAUAUCUUUCCUUCCUUCUCUGUGAUAUUGAGUUUUCUAGUCUACGGGCAAUGUUGUUGCAGGCUGAAUACAAUUGCCAUCCGCAGUUUUACAUGCUGUAGGGAAUCUGGCAAAAGAAUAAGCAUGACCUUAUCUCACUUUCUUUUUCUGUUUUGCCAAAAUUGUUGAAGAUUUCAAGAAGCAGCGAAAAGCACUUCAAUCGAAAAAAGAUCAGGUGCAAGAUGAUGUCGAUGAGGCUGUAAGGCAAACUGAGGUAAUUAAGAAGGACGUUAAGGAGUGGCUAACAAAGGCAGAGAUAGAAUUGGGAGAAGCUCAGAGUUUGGAAGAAGAAAUAGAGCGUAACAAGUAUUUCAAUUGGUGUCCUAGUUGGGGCUGGCGAUACUGCAUAAGUAUCAAAGAUGCAAAGAAGACGCUUUAUAUCUCUCAACUUUUAUGUGUUAUUCUUUAUGUGAGGAAAAUGAGGCACAAGUACUAUCAAAUUUAACUUGUUUGGAGCUUGAGUCAUUACCAAAAUUGAGAUGCAUAUGGAGAGGAUCUGCCCAUUUUGUUAAUCUCCGAAGUCUUAACGACUAUGAGAAUUUGGUCAUGUUCUAAGCUUGUAUAUCUCUUUUUGCCUGCCCUUACUCAAUCUAUGAAGCAUCUGGAAGAACUCCAUAUAGAGAAAACCGACUCUUUAGAGCAUUUAAUCAUAGAAACAGAAAAUGGGGAUGAAAUAGUUUCAAUUAUGGAUUGCUAUUCUCUAUGCUGGCCAAGAUUGAAAUCUCUUCAGACAGCUAGUUGCAAAAGCUUGAAAUAUGUGUUUCCAAUCACUUUGGCUCAAGGACUUCCGUACUUGGAAUCGGUUCAGAUAAUUGAUUGCCCUCAAUUAAUGCAUGUCUCCAACAUGGGAAAAGAAAAGGAUGGGCACCGUAUUGUGCUCCCUCAAUAACAGAUUUAAACACUUGAAAACUUGAAAAACUUGAGGAGCUUUUGUCCAAGAAAUUAUUCUGCCAUGUUACCAUCUUCGAAAGAUUUUGACCCUUGCAAUAUUAGUCCCCAACCCCAAUUAAUGACUCAUUCCCAAGAUCCACAAAGACUUACGUCGCAGUCUCAGUUGAAGGAGUUAUACCUCUCUGACUUGGGAAAGGACUGUGAGCAACAUGGUUUUUCUCUGUGUUUAGUUGACUUGCAGCUGGUUGAUCUUUGCUUCUCUUUUACAAUGUUUAGUUGAUUUGUAAUGUCUACUUGCAUGUCUGAGUCAGACAUCAACAAAUUUCCCCAUGGUUUUCCAUGCUUGUAAAACGCUGGGAGAAAAAGUAACAAAUCUUCACCCUGAGACAUCAGAUCACAUAGCCCCUCAAUUGUGAAACAAACUUGUUAGAUUUGGCAACUGCAUUCCUUACUCCCAUCUUUGCUUACAAACCAAUGGCAAUUGGAAGAAGAAAAAUAUAAAGUCCUUGAAGUU
Molecule: non-coding RNA, 1497 nt
Organism: Theobroma cacao (cacao)
Lineage: Eukaryota; Viridiplantae; Streptophyta; Magnoliopsida; Malvales; Malvaceae
Source: RefSeq, a predicted model, not a curated record